RNAcentral lists this ribosomal RNA (545 nucleotides) under uncultured bacterium. Its description in RNAcentral is "partial 16S ribosomal RNA". It matches the Rfam family "Bacterial small subunit ribosomal RNA", at positions 355 to 914 of the family's 1533-position model. The record is from RNAcentral.
UGGGGAAUAUUGCACAAUGGGCGAAAGCCUGAUGCAGCAACGCCGCGUGAGUGAUGAAGGUCUUCGGAUUGUAAAGCUCUGUCUUUUGGGACGAUAAUGACGGUACCAAAGGAGGAAGCCACGGCUAACUACGUGCCAGCAGCCGCGGUAAUACGUAGGUGGCGAGCGUUGUCCGGAUUUACUGGGCGUAAAGGGUGCGUAGGCGGAUGUUUAAGUGAGAUGUGAAAUACCCGGGCUUAACUUGGGUGCUGCAUUUCAAACUGGAUAUCUAGAGUGCAGGAGAGGAGAACGGAAUUCCUAGUGUAGCGGUGAAAUGCGUAGAGAUUAGGAAGAACACCAGUGGCGAAGGCGAUUCUCUGGACUGUAACUGACGCUGAGGCACGAAAGCGUGGGUAGCAAACAGGAUUAGAUACCCUGGUAGUCCACGCCGUAAACGAUGAGUACUAGGUGUAGGAGGUAUCGACCCCUUCUGUGCCGCAGUAAACACAUUAAGUACUCCGCCUGGGAAGUACGAUCGCAAGAUUAAAACUCUAAAGUGAAUUGAC